RNAcentral lists this ribosomal RNA (387 nucleotides) under uncultured microorganism. RNAcentral describes it as "bacterial SSU rRNA". It matches the Rfam family "Archaeal small subunit ribosomal RNA", at positions 330 to 720 of the family's 1478-position model. The record is from RNAcentral.
GUGCAGCAGUCGAGAAACCUCACAAUGUGCGAAAGCACGAUGAGGGAAUCCCAAGUGCUUGCACGUAAGUGUAAGCUGUUUCUCUGUCUAAAACGCAGAGAGAGUAAGGGCUGGGUAAGACGGGUGCCAGCCGCCGCGGUAAUACCUGCAGCUCGAGUGGUGACCGUUAUUAUUGGGCCUAAAACGUCCGUAGCCGGUUUAAUAAAUGCCUGGGUAAAUCGGACCGCUUAACGGUCCGAAUUCCGGGUAGACUGUUAAACUUGAGACCGGGAGAAGUUAGAGGUACUCCUGGGGUAGAGGUGAAAUUCUGUAAUCCUAGGGGACCACCAGUGGCGAAGGCGUCUAACUAGAACGGGUCUGACGGUGAGGGACGAAGCCCUGGGGCGC